AGAACCAGUUGCUUUUAGAUCUUUCACUAUGUCUGCCAGACAAAGUAACCUUGCAUAUUUCCACUCUAGGAUGAUGAUGAAGAGACCACAUCUGCUGUGACUGAAUUAGAAAGUGCUGGGAGACCCACAGAGAAUGUAGCUGGGGAUGUAAAUGCAGAUGAGGGUCCAACUACCUCUACAUCUAAUCUUAGCAGUUUGUCUGCAAAGGAGCUGUAUAAGGUCCAUCUAUUAAGGCAAAUUAAAAAAAGUGACAUGGACAUGGACCUUAUACAGCUUCAGCAAGAGGAGAAAAGGCUGGCCAUUAAAAAGGCCAAACUUGAAAUCAAAUUGCUGGAGCAUCGCCUUAAGGAUCUGGAGAAAUAAAAGAAAUUAAAUAAAGUGAUUUUGACAAAUCAUGUCUCUAAGCAUUCUGCCAUCUCUGUGGUCUGCUAGAUUCAUUGGGUGUUGUUCUAGGUCCUCUUCAUCAGGAC
Pimephales promelas (fathead minnow) is the source of this 470-nucleotide non-coding RNA. The record is from RefSeq and is a predicted model, not a curated record. NCBI's taxonomy places the organism in Eukaryota, Metazoa, Chordata, Actinopteri, Cypriniformes, Leuciscidae.